CCCUUAGAUGUUCUGGGCCGCACGCGCGCUACACUGAUCGGUGCAACAAGCAUCCGUCCUUGGCCGACAGGCCCGGGCAAUCUUUGAACGCCGGUCGUGAUGGGGAUAGACCUUUGCAAUUUUUGGUCUUCAACGAGGAAUUCCUAGUAAACGCAAGUCAUCAACUUGCAUUGAUUACGUCCCUGCCCUUUGUACACACCGCCCGUCGCACCUACCGAUUGAAUGGUCCGGUGAAGCCUCCGGAUUGGCGCGCACCUCGGUGCCGCCGAGAAGUUGGCUAAACCUUACCAUUUAGAGGAAGGUGAAGUCGUAACA
Molecule: ribosomal RNA, 315 nt
Filed under: uncultured eukaryote
Lineage: Eukaryota
Description: partial 18S ribosomal RNA
Rfam family: Eukaryotic small subunit ribosomal RNA
Source: RNAcentral